UCGCCUUGAGGGUAUCAUGGCAUUGAAUUCUGUGAUGCUCGACAAGUGACUCCAGAACAGCCUGGUUUCUCCACGAGGAGAACCUAACUUCCAUCUGAGUCUCCAUCUCUCACAAUCGAGACUUCAAGCAGCCAGUUAUCUUGGUGAAGUUCCUGUAGCUGGAGACCAGGAAAUUAUCCUUCAGUAACCACGAAUCCGAGAAAUGUAGAGAUUGACAGGCAAUCGGCCAGUGGCUCUCGCUGAGAUUCACAGGUUGGGUUAUCCGACCGGACUCCUGCUGAAUGCCAAUAUAAUAUCGACCUCUUGCUGUUUUCGGAUUGAAUAUUUUGUCCAUGUUUUAGAUAAAUGACAGACCAUCCGCAGGUAAUAAACUUCUAUGUCUUUUU
This is a long non-coding RNA of Anthonomus grandis grandis, 386 nucleotides long. RefSeq lists it as uncharacterized. The record is from RefSeq and is a predicted model, not a curated record. Lineage: Eukaryota; Metazoa; Arthropoda; Insecta; Coleoptera; Curculionidae. The transcript has 2 exons.